Molecule: ribosomal RNA, 468 nt
Filed under: uncultured bacterium
Lineage: Bacteria
Description: partial 16S ribosomal RNA
Rfam family: Bacterial small subunit ribosomal RNA
Source: RNAcentral
GACGAACGCUGGCGGCGUGCUUAACACAUGCAAGUCGAACGGAAAGACCCUGCUUUUGUGGGGUGCUCGAGUGGCGAACGGGUGAGUAACACGUGAGUAACCUGCCCUUGACUUUGGGAUAACUUCAGGAAACUGGGGCUAAUACCGGAUAGGAGCUCCUGCUGCAUGGUGGGGGUUGGAAAGUUUCGGCGGUUGGGGAUGGACUCGCGGCUUAUCAGCUUGUUGGUGGGGUAGUGGCUUACCAAGGCUUUGACGGGUAGCCGGCCUGAGAGGGUGACCGGCCACAUUGGGACUGAGAUACGGCCCAGACUCCUACGGGAGGCAGCAGUGGGGAAUAUUGCACAAAGGGCGGAAGCCUGAUGCAGCAACGCCGCGUGCGGGAUGACGGCCUUCGGGUUGUAAACCGCUUUCGCCUGUGACGAAGCGUGAGUGACGGUAAUGGGUAAAGAAGCACCGGCUAACUACGUG